RNAcentral lists this ribosomal RNA (255 nucleotides) under uncultured bacterium. RNAcentral describes it as "partial 16S ribosomal RNA". It matches the Rfam family "Bacterial small subunit ribosomal RNA", at positions 524 to 776 of the family's 1533-position model. The record is from RNAcentral.
UACGUAGGGUGCGAGCGUUGUCCGGAAUUAUUGGGCGUAAAGAGCUCGUAGGCGGUGUGUCACGUCGGCCGUGAAAACCUGCAGCUUAACUGUGGGCGUGCGGUCGAUACGGGCAUCACUGGAGUUCGGCAGGGGAGACUGGAAUUCCUGGUGUAGCGGUGAAAUGCGCAGAUAUCAGGAGGAACACCGGUGGCGAAGGCGGGUCUCUGGGCCGAUACUGACGCUGAGGAGCGAAAGCAUGGGGGAGCGAACAGG